UGAUUACAGGAUCAAAUCAACUGGCAAGCUCAUACAUUCGAAGGCGAGCUUUGGACCUGCACUGGAGUUAAGCAGAUCUCCCAGGCCUCGUGUUUUCUGUCAACAACAACCACAUUACAUAAUCAAGAAAUCGAAUAAUAAUUUCAUAUAACUAGACUAAGCAAUGCUUUAAGAUGUGAAAGGAGUUUUAUGCUAUGAUUUAGUAGUCGUCGAGAGUUAUAUUGCUCAUAGUUUUAGGCUCAAUGAACGGGUUUUUUCUACCCACGGGUUGGUGGGUAUGGGUGGGUAAAGAACAGACCCAUACCCACGUACCCAAUGGGUAAGAGUUUUCGCCCGUUAGUAGACCCAGGGUAUAAGAGUUAGAACACGAUUAGCUCCUAAUAGAGUAAAAACCCGUCGGGUCUCGGGUUAUGGGUACCCAUUGCCAUCUCUACUUCCUCCUAGCCACCACCACACCUUGUGCGUACUACUCAUGCGGCCCCCUUAAUUACUACACCAAUCUCCUUCUCUUUUGAGGCUAACAAGUGGGCACGAGCAUGUGCCACAUAAGUGAAAGCAGCGGAAAAUGAGGUCUAAAUUGUCAUGGGAUCCAACUUGCAUGGUUUUGUAUAGUUUGGGGUGAAGAUUUCUGGUAUUGAGUAUAUGGGAUGUAAAAUCAAACUCAACUAAAGUUGAGGAAGGGCGAGUGGACUUAAUCCCUCACACAAUAUUUUCAGAUAAAAAGUGAGACUUAAAUGUUUUCAUGGCCCAUGAUAUUUUUUAGUUUUUAUGGAGGGAAAAAUACAUCGAAGGUCCCUCAACUUGUCAUCGAGUUACAAAAUCGUCCUUGAACUGCAAAAACUGAUACAACGCAUCCCUCGACUUACAAAACUAGUGCAAACUAGGUCCCUCGGCAGUUUUGACUCCGGUUUUGUUCGACGUGGCAGCUAACUCAGCGUGGGACCCACGUGGGUCCCACAUGCCAGCCUCUUCUUCCUCUCCCCUCUCCACCUUUCUUCCUCUCUCUCUCCUCUUCUUUUCUUUCACUGGCAGCGUAGCCUGCGGGUAGGGAGGAGGCUGGUAGGGGAGGCGGGAGUCCGGCGGCGAGGCGGCAACAGCGGUGACAACGUGACGACGGGUGACGAGGCGGCGGCGAUGACGACGCGGGAGUAGGAGGGCCUCCCCCACGCCGCCGCCACUGCCAUCUCCGACGGCGCGGGCGCUAGAUCCCGCCGACAUGGACGGCCGCCAUGGCUCCUCGUUGAUGGCGCGGGUGAACAUGUCCUCCGCGCUGCGAGGUCACCGCGGGCGUGCCACAUAAACAGCCCAUACCUCCUCAUUGCCUCGCCGUCCACCGACUUCGCCGCCACCACCUGCUUGAGAGGAUGAGAGGUGGAAAUGGGAGGGGAAGAAGAGGCUGACAUGGUGAGUCCCACGCUAUGUCAACUGCCACGUUGGAUAAAACCGGAGUCAAACCGAGAGUCCUAGUUUGCACUGAUUUUAUAAGUUGAGGGAUGUCUUGUAUCCGGUUUUACGGUUUGAGGAUGAUUUUGUAAGUUAAGGAAUGCGUUGUAUUCGAUGACAAGUUGAGGGACCUUCGGUCUACUUUUUCCUUUCACGGACUCUCAAGGCUGGGCCUUUCUGGGCCUUCUGCUGUAGUAUUUGGUCCGUGGACCGACCGAAAGCUCGCUACCGAUUCCUGCGUGAUGUCGCUGCGCCGCCUGGCCGCGUCCGCCCUGCGCCGCGGCGGCGCCAACGACGGCGGCGUGCUGGCCGCCGUCCGCGCCGAGAUCGCUCAUGAGCUCUCCUCCUCCCCCUCCUCCUCUCCUCCGUCGCUCCAAUCCCAGGACAUUCCUGAUUUCUCCACCGUGUCGGACGCGCCGCGCGGGCAGGAGGUGCUCCUGCGCCGCCGGGAUGCUUCCGAGGAGGUCCUCGUGUCGGCGGUGCUCGCGCCGCUGCGGUUCGAAGGGGAGGAGCCCCUGCCCAGGGACGCGCUCAUGAAGGUGUUCGUCAGUAAGCCUGAUGUGAAGCCGGUGAUGCGGUUCGAUUGCCGCGCGUUUGCAGCUGAAGGUGAUGGCGGCUCUGCUGACUAUGAUGUUACUGCUGUUUGUUACCACCCGUUUGCUGGCGAGUGCGACGCUGGGGAAGACAAGUAUGAAGGGCCGGAGUUCAGGGGAGAGGCGCGGCGUCCAAUCCUUCUAUCGCAGUCUCUUCGCGCAUGUUGGGCGAAAAUAAUCCCGCUAGGCUCUUCUUUGCGCCCUCGUCUGCCGGCGAGUAGAUCUGUUCCGCCGGCCUUAUCUUCCCUGCAGCUGUUGGGAAAGCAGCCAUCGCUCCCCCAAGCUACCCCGCGUCGGCAUUUUUUCCAGAAGCGGCACGUGUUCCGGCAGCACCAGUCCCAUCUCCACCUAGCCAGGUGCGCUUCCCAAGCACCACCACCGCUUCGAUUCAGCCAGCCACCCGAUUCGCCUCCAAUCGGCCCUCUGCCCCGUCGCGUCUCGCAGCCGCCUUCCCCUAUGUCGGAUUGGUGCCACCCUGUCCCGGCCACCCAAGCCAUCUGGUAACAUGCAGGCAACAAAGGCCUGAUGCGACCAGCCAGCUUCCGCCGGAGAUGCCCAGUCACUGGACUUCAUCGAGCACGACUCGCCUGGAGUCGAUUUCUGUACAAAUUGCUCUUUGGGUGAUAAAGCGAAUUUCGUCCGUCGAAACUUUGCUCUUGCACAGUUGCAGUAUUGCUUAAACUUGCUCUAGAACCAAUAUUUUUUUUCCAUGUAAAAUACAGGAGAUCUUGCUAAUCAUCAAGUGAAACGUGGAUUCCCAGAGAUGUCGCCGUGCUAAUAAUCAAGUGAAAUAUGAUUUUGGGCCAAAUACUCAUAUGGCAGCUGAAGCCAAUGAAAGCAUUGUUCAAUGCUUCAACUGUAAGUUAUGAUGUCAAGGAGAUUGAACGUCCUGAAGAAAAAAUGGUGAAACGGAUGACGGGAUGCCACGCUCGGAGGGAGUACGUCACGUGCCACGGAGGAGGGCACAGUGCGCAACGCAUGUGAGGGGGGAAGAGAGGAACUACAAUUUUGUUGUUGGUAGUUUUCUAGCUGGCCCACUUUAUUUGUUUGGAGAGUUGAAUUUUGGGUAUCUCUUGGAGAUAAAGAUAUAUUCAUGCCUUAUAUCCUUUUUAGAGAUCUCAAAAUAAUAAUUUAGGGGAUUGAUUUGGGUGGCUGUUGGCCAUGCUCUUAAGCAUUACAUGUAUCCCUUGCUAUCUGGUUGAAUGGUGAGCAUUUUGUGUUUGCUGAGCUAUAAUGUUUACAUAUUUCUUUUUACUUAUGAAAGUUGACUGUAUCGUUGCUACUCUGAAGGGGCCUAUUUCUGUUCCCUUAAACAAUCAAAGAGCCUUUGAUUC
Molecule: non-coding RNA, 3370 nt
Organism: Oryza sativa Japonica Group (Japanese rice)
Lineage: Eukaryota; Viridiplantae; Streptophyta; Magnoliopsida; Poales; Poaceae
Source: RefSeq, a predicted model, not a curated record